This 842-nucleotide ribosomal RNA is filed under the name uncultured bacterium. Its description in RNAcentral is "bacterial SSU rRNA". It matches the Rfam family "Bacterial small subunit ribosomal RNA", at positions 547 to 1390 of the family's 1533-position model. The record is from RNAcentral.
GNAUUUAUUGGGCGUAAAGCGAGCGCAGGCGGUUAGAUAAGUNUGAAGUUAAAGGCUGUGGCUUAACCAUAGUAUGCUUUGGAAACUGUUUAACUUGAGUGCAGAAGGGGAGAGUGGAAUNCCAUGAGUAGCGGUGAAAUGCGUAGAUAUAUGGAGGAACACCGGUGGCGAAAGCGGCUCUCUGGUCUGUAACUGACGCUGAGGCUCGAAAGCGUGGGGAGCAAAUAGGAUUAGAUACCCUGGUAGUNCACGCCGUAAACGAUGAGUGCUAGGUGUUAGGCCCUUUCCGGGGCUUAGUGCCGCAGCUAACGCAUUAAGCACUCCGCCUGGGGAGUACGACCGCAAGGUUGAAACUCAAAGGAAUUGACGGGGGCCCGCACAAGCGGUGGAGCAUGUGGUUUAAUCCGAAGCAACGCGAAGAACCUUACCAGGUCUUGACAUCCCUCUGACCGCUCUAGAGAUAGAGUUUUCCUUCGGGACAGAGGUGACAGGUGGUGCAUGGUUAUCGUCAGCUCGUGUCGUGAGAUGUUGGGUUAAGUCCCGCAACGAGCGCAACCCCUAUUGUUAGUUGCCAUCAUUGAGUUGGGCACUCUAGCGAGACUGCCGGUAAUAAACCGGAGGAAGGUGGGGAUGACGUCAAAUCAUCAUGCCCCUUAUGACCUGGGCUACACACGUGCUACAAUGGCUGGUACAACGAGUCGCAAGCCGGUGACGGCAAGCUAAUCUCUGAAAGCCAGUCUCAGUUCGGAUUGUAGGCUGCAACUCGCCUACAUGAAGUCGGAAUCGCUAGUAAUCGCGGAUCAGCACGCCGCGGUGAAUACGUUCCCGGGCCUUGUACACAC